Molecule: ribosomal RNA, 482 nt
Filed under: uncultured bacterium
Lineage: Bacteria
Description: partial 16S ribosomal RNA
Rfam family: Bacterial small subunit ribosomal RNA
Source: RNAcentral
GACGAACGCUGGAGGCGUGCUUAACACAUGCAAGUCGAACGAUGAAAUGGAGCUUGCUCCAUGGAUUAGUGGCGAACGGGUGAGUAACACGUGAAUAACCUGCCCUUAAUUUUGGAAUAACCCAGGGAAACCUGGGCUAAUACCGGAUAAGUAAACCUGUGGCAUCACAGGGUUUGGGAAAGUUUUUCGAUUAAGGAUGGAUUCGCGGCCUAUCAGCUUGUUGGCGAGGUAAUGGCUCACCAAGGCGACGACGGGAAGCCGGCCUGAGAGGGUGAACGGCCAAAAUGGGACUGAGACACGGCCCAGACUCCUACGGGAGGCAGCAGUGGGGAAUAUUGCGCAAGGGACGAAAGUCUGACGCAGCGACGCCUCGUGAGGGACGAAGGUCUUCGGAUUGUAAACCUCUUUCAGCAGGGACGAAGCGAAAGUGACGGUACCUGCAGAAGAAGCACCGGCUAACUAUGUGCCAGCCGCCGCCGUAA